GUAACAUAAGAACUCACUCUUUCUUCAGGGUCAUAAUUGGGUCUUAGUGUAUUCAAUUGGGUCUCCUACUUAAACAUAGCGUGGUCUCACAUGAUUAAAUUCACAUUCAUUGUUAAUGCACAUCCACUUAAGCAAUUGUAACCCGCUUAUUGGACAGUCAGCAUCAAUUCUACAUCCAUCAAAUACUGGAAUGAAAAGAAAAGAAAAAUACAAUAGUGUUAUUAAAAUAAGAUAAAAUAUUGUGUACGAUGUAGUUUGCUCCUUGGUUCAACUAAGUUUUGAAGAUGUUUGUGUUUUCUCCUUUAAUUGUUGUAAUAUUGUUUUUGUUUAGUUUAGCUACAAUUCUCUUCAAGAAUGUAUCACUUUGGAAAUUCCAACAAUUUGUUUAAUCGAUACAAAUUGUGACCCAGAUUUAGCAGAUAUUUCGAUUCCAACUAAUGAUGAUGUUAUAGCUUCAAUCCGAUUAAUUCUUAACAAAUUAGUUUUUGCAAUUUGUGAAGGUCGUUCUAGCUAUAUAUGAAAUUUUUGAUUAAUAAUAAGAUAAAUAAAUUUUUAGAUUAAACAUUUUAUUUUCCUCUUAUCAUUAGACAAUCUAAUUCAGUUUUCAAAUACAUCCAAAGGAAUAAAUUCCUUAUAUUUCUUAUCUAAUUGUAAGGCACCCUUUAAUUUGAGGUCUUCAAUAUAUCUUAUGUCAUUCCAUUGCAUAAAAAUAUCUCUACACAUAAACAUUGCAUUCUAUGUGUGUGGGGUAAUAUGUACCUUGAAUGUUAGUUUAGAAUUGUUUCAAUCUCUCAAUAAGGUACAAUCACAUGUAAAUUCCAACUUCUUGCCAUUUUGUUGCUUGAGGAUAAGCAACGGUUUAAGUUUGGUUUGUGAUGAUUGAAUAACAUAUAAUAUUUUUAGGUAUAUUUUUAGUUAUUUUCUUUGUAUUUGAAGGAAAAUUAGAAGUCAUUUAGAGGAGUUGUCAAUGGUUUGAUUAACUUUGUGUUUUUUUUUUUUGCCAUAGGUGUCUUGUGUCUUGUUAGUGAGAAAUCAUGCAUAUCGGCAAAACAAGACACCAAGUGGAGGAUCGAGGGUAUAAAGAUUAAAUAUCAGUGGUUCUUAAAAGGUAUUUGAAUACAAUACAAACUGAAGAAAAUUCAUUUCAAACUCCAAGGUAUUGCAAGACGAAAGAACACGCGAAAAGGAACGAAAACUACAAAAUUCGCACAUGAGGGGCUUCCAGAAGCGCACAUGCACCCUGCGCAUGGUACAUGGUCAGAGAGUGCUUGUUGCUUGUUUUUCAACAUGUUUUGGUUCAAAACCCCUAUUUUUCUUCUCUUACUCCCUAAGUAAUGAUGCAGUGUAACUAGAGACCCUUGCACACUCUUUCAUCUAGAAAUCUAGCGGUACUGGCAAAACUCAAACAUCCGGAGCUUCAAGGAAGAAGAUAUCCAUCAUCCUCUUGUUCUCUCUAGGGUAUUUUUUCUCUCUUUUGUUUUGUAAUGAUGUACGUUUCAACAUGAAACUAAACCUCUUUGGAUUGGAUUCCACGAAGAACUCCUUCUUGUUUGUUGGACUAUAAUACAGUUUUUUUUAUUCAAUUUAUGAUCUAAAGUCAGAUUUAAUUCGUAUAUGUCCAUUUCUAUACCAUAACUCUAGAUGGUGCUAAGUAGGAUUGAGGACCUAAAUUCCAUUGAAACAAGACAUCCGUGAAUUGCUUAGUUUUUAAUUUAAUUGAAUUUAAGUAUGGAUUUAGGGAUAUAACUCAUCUUAAGGAAAUCCCACAAUUGUAAUUGGUUAAAUUGCGAGGAUAUUGAAAUAAACUUGCAACGAUUCAUCACAUGGUUAUGUUCUACUUUCUUAAAUCCAAUAAGGCAAGCAUAAACUAAUAAUUAAUCGAAUUAAUUUCAACAACGAAGGAGGGGGGAUUCAAGGAUUCCUUAAUCACUGUUACACUAGCGAAUCAAACCAAACAUAAUCUCGCAUUAUGCAGGAUAAUUAAAACCUUCUAACCACUCUCAAUCUUCUUUUUUAUUUGCUUUUCUAAUAAGUUCCGCUAAUUAUCAAUUUAAACGACAACGACAAUCCAUUUGGAGACGUUAACUUACUACAUUAUUACUUGAGUAUGAUUUGGUGCACUUACUUAAUUAUAUUAUCACAGCUCGAAAAAGAACAAGAGUAAAUUUCUUAUUUAAAAUUAAUCUCUUUUAAAUUAAACAUUAUUAUGAUUGUUUGGAAUAUGAUUCAUCUUUAGGUGAACUUUGCAAGUAUAACAUUUGUCGUGACACAAAUAAUCGAACUUUCCCCCGUUACAUUACGGGGUCAUGUCUUACUCUCUUGAAUUAAGGAAAGUCAUAAACUAAUAAUAAAAUGAGGUAACUUCGAAAAAGAUCGUUUUUAUGCGCUGAAACUCUUAAAACAAUGAAUAUCUCAUUCUCUCCUAUAUAAGGACCUGGUUAGAUUAAAAAAAAAGAGAGACUUCAUAUAUUUUACAAGUGGCAAAUCUCUCUCAAAUUUGAAAGCGCACAAAUACUUAGAAACUUCUUAUAAACUUUAUAGGGUUAAUAGGUCUUUACCCCUCUGUAAUAUAGGUCAUUUCCAGUUUUCCCCCCUGUAAAAAAAAAUUGUUUUGAUUUACCUCCUUAAUAGGCCAAACAAAAACGAAAAUUUCUUGAAAAAAAUAAUAAAAUUGGUUUUGUUUGGCCUAUUAGGGGUAAAUCAAAACAAAAAUAUUUUACAGGGGAUAAAUAAAAAAAAAUUACAGGGGGAAUACCGAAAAUGACCUAUAUUACAGGGGGUGAAGACCUAUUAAGUAUUAACCCAACUUUAUAUCUUAAAAUUUCUUAAGUAUCAUAAAUCACUUGAACUUUAAGUUUAGUUUACCACUCUUUGAGUACAAAGAGCAAACACAUACAAAUUUACCAUUCUUGUGUGAGGCAAGGAAAUCUUAGACUUGUGUGUUUAAGUAAUUGUAAUCUUGUGUGAUUACACUGAAAAAUCCGUUAGAAGCACACAGGAACUGGACUAACCUCAUAUUGUGGAGUGAACCGCGAUAAUUGUUUUUCUUCUCUCUUAUAUAUCUUAUUGUCUUGCUUGUUCUGUUUUGUUUUAAUAUAUAGAAAAAUAUUUUCAGAAAAAGCCAACAUAGUUAAAUUCUCCCUUGUGUUUUCUCACCUUCAUGAAUUGACUAAAAAUUAAAUUGAAAAUCUAAUUGAUUGUUCAAUGACUAUUCGUAUUUUACAUUAUCCUUCUGAUUUAUUCAUCAUAUAUCAAAUAAUUUUGAUUCAUCUUAUAGAGUUUUAUUUCUUAAGUUUAGGUUUAGUUUGAUAUUGUUAAUGGUUUUGAGGAUUAUAUUAUAUUGUUUAUCUUGUUAUCAUAUAAAGCUAGUUCUUAAUUCCAUAUAGACUACAAGUUACAUAAGGAAAAUUGAAAAACAUGAAAAAAAAUUGCUUACCAUAUUGGAAGACAACAUCAUCACCAUCAACAUUCUUUACAACAAGAAAAAUAGAAAGAAAGAAAAUCAUAUAAUUAAC
RNAcentral lists this long non-coding RNA (3515 nucleotides) under Medicago truncatula (barrel medic). RNAcentral's name for it is "lncRNA gene31120". The record is from RNAcentral. Lineage: Eukaryota; Viridiplantae; Streptophyta; Magnoliopsida; Fabales; Fabaceae.